Molecule: long non-coding RNA, 1382 nt
Organism: Photinus pyralis (common eastern firefly)
Lineage: Eukaryota; Metazoa; Arthropoda; Insecta; Coleoptera; Lampyridae
Exons: 3
Source: RefSeq, a predicted model, not a curated record
ACCGUUGAUGGUCUGUGAACUACACUAUCGAGUGUCGGUGUUGUUUGUAGGUUUGUUUGUUUGAAAUCGGUAGAAAGAAAACCUGCAUAAAUUGUUCAUUUUUCUCUAUACUUAGGAUAUAUGGAACUGCAUAUAAGCAAACCCACAUAUCUUAAACAAAAUUGAAAUGAAGAUACUUUAUGUAACAAAUUUUUAGCUACACAAGACAAGGAGUAAAAGCAAAGAUGUAUGAAGAAAGAAUAUCUAAGAGUAGUGCAUUAUACAUUACGUUUUCUUGUAGGUGUUUACAUCCAGAUUACUGCAAAUAGUUAUCUGGGUUUCAAGUUUCUGAUUAGAAUUUCAUAAAUAAGAAGUGAACAACUUUCUGAAAUGUCAUUGAUAGAAAUUUUGUUCAGUUAGGUAGGUGUACGUUUGCUGAUAUUUCCCGUUCACUUUCUUAUGUAAGUAUUUAUUAUAGGUAACUAGUAAUGUACCUACCUAUGCUUAAGAUCAGAUACGUAGUUGUUGGAGUGUAAUAAUGGUUUUAUUUACAAAGACAUUGUCAUUGACAUGAACAUUGAUAAGUAAAAGCCCUUGUUACCCUCCUGUGUAAGUAAAUCUCUUGUUAUACAAGUGGGGAAGAUAAUUUAUGAUGAGCUGCCCUAUUGUUCAAGUUACUAGUAGGUACAACUUCAGGUUAUUAUACAGCAAGACAAACAAGGUUCUGAAUUACCCGAGGUGUUACCUAUAUAACUCUCGCCAGGAAAGAUUGCCGGUCACAGCGCACCUUGUGUCGAUUUACAAUCUUUGUUUUUAUUAAGAUGCGAGCGACUUCUGGAAUAGGAUCGUGCUAAUGUUGAACAAAAAGUCUUUUCGUUCAACAUUGACACGAUACUAUCCCGGAAGUUGCUAGCCCCUUACGAAAGACAGAGAUUGUAGAUCGGGAUCAAGUUUUCUGUGACCGGCAAUCUUUCCUGGCCAGAGUUAUAUUAAAAUUUCAGGUAAAGGUUCCGUAUACCUGUUUGAAGUAUUGCAAGAGAGAAACUGUUAUACAGUGCUUACAUAGUGGUUGAUGGACAAUGAAUUAUAAGAUGAAUAAUGUAUUUAUUAAAUUACACAUGUUACAUUGACCACAAGAAGGUUCUGUCCCAUCUCUGAUGAAAUAAAGCAAUGUAAUGUUCCUUUAGCAAGGGAUGUGGAUUAUACCUGCAACGCAGAGUACGCCCUUCUCCAAAUGUUCAUAGGUAAUUUGAAACUGUUGUCGCUUAACUAAAAUAUUUUAUGUUUAGCACUAAAUUUCAAAUUAACUAAAUUGGGGUGCAUAAUAAAGGGUGGUGACUUGCAUAACGCAUUAUAGGGAUUUCAAUGUAAAAUUUAUAACAUGCAAUUAUUGGUUCCCCAAA